Dermacentor andersoni is the source of this 2215-nucleotide non-coding RNA. Lineage: Eukaryota; Metazoa; Arthropoda; Arachnida; Ixodida; Ixodidae. The record is from RefSeq and is a predicted model, not a curated record.
CAUUUAGAAUGUAAUACAGUGCACAAUUACCGAUGAAAAAUUAUUUAGGCCAUACCGAGCACAUGCCGUCAAAAUGUGAUGACGUCACGGCACCUUGGCGCGUGAACCGCACCCGUCUUUCAUGCUCGCGGCUUCUCCGGCUAAGCAGGCUACCUCUCACGAAAGCAAUGUUUCUUUCUACCGUUCGUUACGGCGUGCAUCAUAAUAACACCGCGUUUUGGCGCGUAACAUUCCAGUUUUUUUAAUAAGCGUGCCGGUAACUGAGUUUGCCUGAGAACAUCCGGUCCGUCAGUUUUGCAAAUGGCGAUUGGAAAGCGAUGGGCGUCACUCCGCUACUUUGCCUUCAGCGAUGUAGGCACUGUAUUGUUUUUUUUUUUUCGUAUUUUAGCAGUGUUUUACGUGACGACAAAUUGGCGACGCCAGCGCAAGAUGAAACGUGCAUUAGAAAAAACUGCGGUACCCAGCCGGCGUUUAUGUAAGGGCCCGUAGCACUAUUGGCAUUGGGCGGAACCAGAAGUUUGACGGUGUGUGUGGGGUGGGGUCCUCGAGCCGUCUGCCGUGCCAGUCUCCGGCGCCACCACGUGUUCUCCUAGCCAGGCCAUUCGGGUUAACUCGGCUCGGUUGCCUAGGAAACGGCUCCCCAUGCGCCGUGCCGUGUGAGAGUGGCAGAACGCGAUCGGCGGCUGUCUGCGGACGACGUGGCUGCAGGUGGGAACUAUCCCGUUUCCUGUCCUGCAAGAUCCUUCUGAGCUCAUCGCUAGUUAUAGGAGGAGUUUCUGUAUCCUGUUCAUGGCUGUUUCUAAUUGAGGUAUCCUGACUCCUUUGGGUACUGUACAGGUUAACUCCGCUCGGUUGCCAAGGAAACGGCUCCGCAUGCCCAGUGCCGUGUGCGAGUGGCAGAACGCGACCGGCGGCUGUCUGCGGACGACGUGGCUGCAAGUGGGGUGUGCCUGCUGUGGGAUCCCCGAGCUGCAUGCCGUAUCAGUUUCGCUGCUCCACCAUACGUCCUCCUGUAGCCAGGCCAUCGGGAGGUUAACUCUCUGCUCGGUCGCCUAGGAAACGGCUCCUCAUGCGCCAUGCCGUGUGAGAGUGGCAGAAUGCUGUCGGGGCCUGGCUGCGGUCGACGUGGCGGCAAGUGCGGUGUGCCUGCUGUGGGAUCUCCGAGCUGCAUUCCGUGUCUGUUUCCGGCGCCACCACAAGUCCUCCUAUAGCCAGGCCAUCGGGAGGUUAACUCUACUCGGUCGCCUAGGAAACGGCUGGUCAUGAGCAAUGCCGUGUGAGAGUGGCAGAAUGCUGUCGGGGCCUGGCUGCGCGGACGACGUGGCUGCAAGUGCGCUGUCAUCAUUCUUGCCAGAAAAAGUAGGAAAACAGGAUACCUUCAUUCGUCCAUACCAACGAUUUGGUCUUGCUCCUUAAACGUGAACGUUUUAGCCAUGGGACAACCGAACACCCUUUGUAAACCCAUAAAGCGCACUGCAAAGGAGGACACCAGAGUGCGAGAACAAGCCCACGUACAGUGAUCGACAAGGAUACGGCGAAAACAUGCAGUUCAUCGCAGCCGUGGCAGAUGGUUCCAUCCGUUCCCUAGGAGUCGAAUCAACAUGUUUUGAGUGACGUCACCGCAGACGACACCGACUUCAGAUUUAUUGUGGACGAAACGAGACAGGUGCAGGAAGGUGCGCUGCUUGUGGCAUCGCCGAAACUGGAGCCGUGUUCCGUGUCGGCGCCACCAGGUGUCCUCCUCGCCAGUUCAACAAGACAACAAGGAGUGCGUGGAGCCGACUACCGUGCGAGUCUCGGCGCCGACAGACGUCCUCCUAGAAAGCUGAAGCAGGCGAGUGCAGCCGUGUUCACGUUUUAAGGUGUGCGUGGCGUUGGAUCCUCAAGCCGGCCUCCCGUCAGUCCCGGCGCCAGCAGACGUUCUCCUGCCGGCCAAUCGAGAGGAGAUUACAGUAUACCGGACAUGGCAAGAUGCAGCAACUAGGCACUCAGGCUUCAUCCACCAAGAGGGCUGCUCCGCACAUAUUGGACGCAUUCGUGAAAACAGGUUCUGUCCCAGGGAGUACUUCCAAGAGUUGGGCAUGAUUUGGUCUACGAUGCCCAUAACCUCCGGAAUUCUCCCGGACGAUAAUAAAGCAAUGAAACAAAGCCUUCUAUGCGGCGCAAACAAGCAUAAAAGCCUUGGCGCACGCAAUGAGCACUUCCAGUUGUCGAA